This 519-nucleotide ribosomal RNA is filed under the name uncultured eukaryote. Its description in RNAcentral is "SSU rRNA". It matches the Rfam family "Eukaryotic small subunit ribosomal RNA", at positions 1161 to 1702 of the family's 1831-position model. The record is from RNAcentral.
AGGGCACCACCAGGGGUGGAGCCUGCGGCUUAAUUUGACUCAACACGGGGAAACUCACCCGGCCCGGACACCGGAAGGAUUGACAGAUUGAGAGCUCUUUCUUGAUUCGGUGGGUGGUGGUGCAUGGCCGUUCUUAGUUGGUGGAGUGAUUUGUCUGGUUAACUCCGAUAACGAACGAGACUCUGGCCUACUAACUAGUCGUCGGAUCGCUUCAGUCCGGCCGACUUCUUAGAGGGACAAGCAGCGCUUAGCUGCAUGAAAAAGAGCAAUAACAGGUCUGUGAUGCCCUUAGAUGUCCGGGGCUGCACGCGCGCUACACUGAAGGAAUCAGCGUGUGGGUUUGCCUGGCUCGAAAGAGCUGGGUAAUCCGGUGAAAAUCCUUCGUGAUUGGGAUCGGGACUUGCAAUUAUUUCCCUUGAACGAGGAAUCCCUAGUAAGUACGGGUCAUCAGCUCGUGCUGAUUACGUCCCUGCCCUUUGUACACACCGCCCGUCGCUGCCCGGAACUGAGCCAUUUCGA